This 253-nucleotide ribosomal RNA is filed under the name uncultured bacterium. Its description in RNAcentral is "partial 16S ribosomal RNA". It matches the Rfam family "Bacterial small subunit ribosomal RNA", at positions 524 to 776 of the family's 1533-position model. The record is from RNAcentral.
GACGAACCGUGCGAACGUUGUUCGGAAUCACUGGGCUUAAAGGGCGCGUAGGCGGGUGUGCAAGUCUGCGGUGAAAGCCUCCAGCUUAACUGGAGAAGUGCCGUGGAUACUGCAUAUCUUGAGGAGGGUAGGGGCAUCUGGAACAUUGGGUGGAGCGGUGAAAUGCGUUGAUAUCCAAUGGAACUCCGGUGGCGAAGGCGAGGUGCUGGACCCUUUCUGACGCUGAGGUGCGAAAGCGUGGGGAGCAAACAGG